GGUUAUAGCUCAGUGGUAGAGAGCUUGCCUCGCAAGCAUGGGGCCCUGGGUUUGAUCCUCAGCACCA
This 67-nucleotide transfer RNA is filed under the name Marmota monax (woodchuck). RNAcentral describes it as "tRNA.Ala". It matches the Rfam family "tRNA". From Rfam's summary of the family: Transfer RNA (tRNA) molecules are approximately 80 nucleotides in length. Their secondary structure includes four short double-helical elements and three loops (D, anti-codon, and T loops). Lineage: Eukaryota; Metazoa; Chordata; Mammalia; Rodentia; Sciuridae. The record is from RNAcentral.